Molecule: ribosomal RNA, 565 nt
Filed under: uncultured bacterium
Lineage: Bacteria
Description: bacterial SSU rRNA
Rfam family: Bacterial small subunit ribosomal RNA
Source: RNAcentral
AGAGUUUGAUCCUGGCUCAGGAUGAACGCUGGCGGCGUGCUUAACACAUGCAAGUCGAACGAAGCAUAGGAGUGGAAUUUUUCGGAAGGAAACAACUAUGACUGAGUGGCGGACGGGUGAGUAACGCGUGGGUAACCUGCCUCAUACAGGGGGAUAACAGUUAGAAAUGACUGCUAAUACCGCAUAAGCGCACAAAACCGCAUGGUUUGGUGUGAAAAACUGAGGUGGUAUGAGAUGGACCCGCGUCUGAUUAGCUAGUUGGAGAGGUAACGGCUCACCAAGGCAACGAUCAGUAGCCGACCUGAGAGGGUGACCGGCCACAUUGGGACUGAGACACGGCCCAAACUCCUACGGGAGGCAGCAGUGGGGAAUAUUGCACAAUGGGGGAAACCCUGAUGCAGCAACGCCGCGUGAGUGAAGAAGUAUUUCGGUAUGUAAAGCUCUAUCAGCAGGGAAGAAGAGAGACGGUACCUGACUAAGAAGCCCCGGCUAACUACGUGCCAGCAGCCGCGGUAAUACGUAGGGGGCAAGCGUUAUCCGGAUUUACUGGGUGUAAAGGGAGCGU